CGCAAUUAAGGAUGAAAAUUUUCCGAUAGUUACUGAUUUCACAGUGAUUAGAAUACAAAUAAUCACCAUCUUUUGGCUAAGAUUGCU
Quercus robur (English oak) is the source of this 87-nucleotide small nucleolar RNA. The record is from RefSeq and is a predicted model, not a curated record. NCBI's taxonomy places the organism in Eukaryota, Viridiplantae, Streptophyta, Magnoliopsida, Fagales, Fagaceae.